This 116-nucleotide ribosomal RNA is filed under the name uncultured bacterium. Its description in RNAcentral is "partial 16S ribosomal RNA". It matches the Rfam family "Bacterial small subunit ribosomal RNA", at positions 1358 to 1482 of the family's 1533-position model. The record is from RNAcentral.
UCCGGUGAAUACGUUCCCGGGCCUUGUACACACCGCCCGUCAAGCCAUGGAAGCUGGGUGUACCUAAAGUCGGUAACCGUAAGGAGCCGCCUAGGGUAAAACUAGUGACUGGGGCU